GGACGAACGCUGGCGGGCGUGCUUAACACAUGCAAGUCGAGCGGUAAGGCCCUUUCGGGGGUACGACGAGCGGCGAACGGGUGAGUAACACGUGGGUGACCUGCCCUCAGCUCUGGGAUAAGCCUGGGAAACCGGGUCUAAUACUGGAUAUGACUCCAUGACGCAUGUUGGUGGGGUGGAAAGCCUUGUGCGGCUGAGGAUGGGCCCGCGGCCUAUCAGCUUGUUGGUGGGGUGAGGCCUACCAAGGCGACGACGGGUAGCCGGCCUGAGAGGGCGACCGGCCACACUGGGACUGAGACACGGCCCAGACUCCUACGGGAGGCAGCAGUGGGGAAUCUUGCGCAAUGGGCGAAAGCCUGACGCAGCGACGCCGCGUGAGGGAUGACGGCCU
RNAcentral lists this ribosomal RNA (391 nucleotides) under uncultured bacterium. Its description in RNAcentral is "bacterial SSU rRNA". It matches the Rfam family "Bacterial small subunit ribosomal RNA", at positions 27 to 417 of the family's 1533-position model. The record is from RNAcentral.